CCUACGGGGGGCAGCAGUGAGGAAUAUUGGUCAAUGGACGCAAGUCUGAACCAGCCAUGCCGCGUGAAGGAUGACGGCUCUAUGAGUUGUAAACUGCUUUUGUACGAGGGUAAACGCAGAUACGCGUAUCUGUAUGAAAGUAUCGUACGAAUAAGGAUCGGCUAACUCCGUGCCAGCAGCCGCGGUAAUACGGAGGAUUCAAGCGUUAUCCGGAUUUAUUGGGUUUAAAGGGUGCGUAGGCGGUCGGAUAAGUUAGAGGUGAAAUUUCGGGGCUCAACUUCGGAAUUGCCUUUGAUACUGUUCGGCUUGAGUGUAGGUGAGGUAGGCGGAAUGCAUGGUGUAGCGGUGAAAUGCUUAGAGAUCAUGCAGAACUCCGAUUGCGAAGGCAGCUUACCAAGCUACUACUGACGUUGAUGCACGAAAGCGUGGGGAGCAAACAGGAUUAGAUACCCUAGUAGUC
This 460-nucleotide ribosomal RNA is filed under the name uncultured bacterium. RNAcentral's name for it is "partial 16S ribosomal RNA". It matches the Rfam family "Bacterial small subunit ribosomal RNA", at positions 338 to 795 of the family's 1533-position model. The record is from RNAcentral.